This 84-nucleotide transfer RNA is filed under the name Mycoplasma nasistruthionis. RNAcentral describes it as "tRNA-Tyr". It matches the Rfam family "tRNA". Rfam says of the family: Transfer RNA (tRNA) molecules are approximately 80 nucleotides in length. Their secondary structure includes four short double-helical elements and three loops (D, anti-codon, and T loops). The record is from RNAcentral. Lineage: Bacteria; Bacillati; Mycoplasmatota; Mollicutes; Mycoplasmatales; Mycoplasmataceae.
UGGGGGAUAGCAAAGCGGCCAAAUGCGGGUGGCUGUAACCCACUUUCUUAGGAUUCGGGGGUUCGAAUCCCUCUCCCCCCACCA